RNAcentral lists this transfer RNA (72 nucleotides) under Pseudetroplus maculatus (orange chromide). RNAcentral's name for it is "tRNA-Met". The record is from RNAcentral. Lineage: Eukaryota; Metazoa; Chordata; Actinopteri; Cichliformes; Cichlidae.
AGCUUUUGGGCCCAUACCCCAAACAUGUUGGUUAAACUCCUUCCUUUACUAAUGAACCCCUACAUUCUAGCC